GAUAGUGAUUGAUUUUAAGAGAAAAUAAGCAAAUGUGAAAUCUACAUGCUAAGCUAUUUCAGCGAGGCAGAUUUUUUUCAUAUACAGGAUGGAUACUGAUUAUUAUAACCAGUGUCUUCAGGGAUAAGCAAUUCUUUCAGAUUAUCUCUCUCACUGAAAAUGCCAUUCAAGAAUAUCACCUCUGUGUUUUUAUUUUAAGCUCUGUAGGCAACUUUUUGAUCUAUAAUUAAGUUGAACAGGCAUAUGUCUUAUUGUGACUGGGAUGUAGCCAUGGUAUAUUCAUAAACUGGUGUUCUGGUUGGUAACUGAUUCUCUUGUCAGUUUUCUUGGUGUGAGUGCAGUGCUCCAGAGUUGGUGAACUCUAGGUGAACUGUUGAGAUCAAGUUUCUGUAUCUGCAAAACUGAAGAUCAGACUUUGGACUGUGGCAAGUGAAAAUAGACUGAAUCUGAGAGGUGAAGCCCAGCUAAAAAGAGAGCUCAUCAUCACCCACUAACGGGUCAAAAUCUACAGUUUGAAGAGUCCUGCAAUGUGGAAGGAAUGUUCAAGCAGGAGUGAGAAUCCUGAGUUCCUUGUUGCUCCACUUUUGAAUGGAAACCUGUACUCUCACCAUCAAACCAAGGUGAUAGGAUUCAAUCAGAUCAUCUCCACGGCCUCUGUUUCAGUGGAUUGAGGAUUUCCCACCUUGAUACUGGUGAUUUUUCCUCAUCAGGAUUCCUUGACGGGGCACCUGUCUCAGCAGACGACCAGAAAACUCAACACAGGACCAUUGUGCACUUACCUUCUCUGCCAAGGAAAAAAAAAGGUAAUGGUUUAAACAUGCUUCCCUUCCACUCUACACUUUAUCAUUAUACAAGACUCGACAUAUAUUUUAAUAAAAUUGAAAGAUGCAUGCAAUAUAGGCUAAUGGAUAAGCAGAAACCACAAAGAAUUCUUAGUAUUAUCACUUCCAUGAAUUAAAAAUUAAAGGAGAAAAGAUUAUA
Long non-coding RNA from Acinonyx jubatus (cheetah), 981 nucleotides. RefSeq lists it as uncharacterized. The transcript has 3 exons. The record is from RefSeq and is a predicted model, not a curated record. Lineage: Eukaryota; Metazoa; Chordata; Mammalia; Carnivora; Felidae.